CUUGCAUAUAUAAGAGGUCCAGCCUGCCCAGUGACUUAGUUCAACGGCCGCGGUAUCCUAACCGUGCGAAGGUAGCGUAAUCACUUGUUCUUUAAAUGAGGACUCGUAUGAAUGGCACCACGAGGGUUACACUGUCUCCUUUCUCUAAUCAAUGAAACUGAUCUCCCCGUGAAGAAGCGGGGAUACACAUAUUAGACGAGAAGACCCUAUGGAGCUUCAAACUAUACAGCACUGGCUUUUAUCUUUUUCCACUUCAGAGUUUUUAAUAUUAUUCUAGCCUUUUGACUAUUAGUUUUAGGUUGGGGUGACCACGGAGCAAAAAUUAACCUCCACGAUGAACAGACCAACUCUUGAGCUAAAAGCCACAACUUUAAGCACCAAUAAACUGACACAAAUUGACCCAAUAUUUUGACCAACGAAC
RNAcentral lists this ribosomal RNA (421 nucleotides) under Dendropsophus leucophyllatus (Bereis' treefrog). RNAcentral describes it as "partial 16S ribosomal RNA". It matches the Rfam family "Bacterial large subunit ribosomal RNA", at positions 1836 to 2457 of the family's 2925-position model. Lineage: Eukaryota; Metazoa; Chordata; Amphibia; Anura; Hylidae. The record is from RNAcentral.